UACGAGAGGCCCAAACGUUAUUCGGAAUUACUGGGCUUAAAGAGUCCGUAGGCGGCGCAGAAAGUAGGGUGUGAAGGCCCUCGGCUUAACCGAGGAAUUGCGCUCUAAACUACUGUGCUUGAGGAACCUAGAGGUGAGCGGAACUGAUGGUGGAGCGGUGAAAUGCGUUGAUAUCAUCAGGAACACCGGAGGCGAAGGCGGCUCACUGGGGGUUAUCUGACGCUGAGGGACGAAAGCCAGGGGAGCGAACGGG
RNAcentral lists this ribosomal RNA (253 nucleotides) under uncultured bacterium. RNAcentral describes it as "partial 16S ribosomal RNA". It matches the Rfam family "Bacterial small subunit ribosomal RNA", at positions 524 to 776 of the family's 1533-position model. The record is from RNAcentral.